RNAcentral lists this ribosomal RNA (333 nucleotides) under uncultured bacterium. RNAcentral's name for it is "bacterial SSU rRNA". It matches the Rfam family "Bacterial small subunit ribosomal RNA", at positions 568 to 898 of the family's 1533-position model. The record is from RNAcentral.
CGCGUAGGCGGAUUGUUAAGUCAGAUGUGAAAACCGGGGGCUUAACCCGCGGCCUGCAUCUGAAACUGGCAGUCUUGAGUCUGGUAGAGGAAAGUGGAAUUCCCAGUGUAGCGGUGAAAUGCGCAGAUAUUGGGAGGAACACCAGUGGCGAAGGCGGCUUUCUGGGCCACGACUGACGCUGAGGCGCGAAAGCUAGGGGAGCGAACAGGAUUAGAUACCCUGGUAGUCCUAGCCGUAAACGAUGGGCACUAGGUGUGGGGGGUCAUCAACUCCCUCCGUGCCGCAGCUAACGCAUUAAGUGCCCCGCCUGGGGAGUACGGCCGCAAGGCUAAA